RNAcentral lists this ribosomal RNA (1473 nucleotides) under Lacticaseibacillus rhamnosus. RNAcentral describes it as "bacterial SSU rRNA". It matches the Rfam family "Bacterial small subunit ribosomal RNA". Lineage: Bacteria; Bacillati; Bacillota; Bacilli; Lactobacillales; Lactobacillaceae. The record is from RNAcentral.
GCAUCUUGAUUUAAUUUUGAACGAGUGGCGGACGGGUGAGUAACACGUGGGUAACCUGCCCUUAAGUGGGGGAUAACAUUUGGAAACAGAUGCUAAUACCGCAUAAAUCCAAGAACCGCAUGGUUCUUGGCUGAAAGAUGGCGUAAGCUAUCGCUUUUGGAUGGACCCGCGGCGUAUUAGCUAGUUGGUGAGGUAACGGCUCACCAAGGCAAUGAUACGUAGCCGAACUGAGAGGUUGAUCGGCCACAUUGGGACUGAGACACGGCCCAAACUCCUACGGGAGGCAGCAGUAGGGAAUCUUCCACAAUGGACGCAAGUCUGAUGGAGCAACGCCGCGUGAGUGAAGAAGGCUUUCGGGUCGUAAAACUCUGUUGUUGGAGAAGAAUGGUCGGCAGAGUAACUGUUGUCGGCGUGACGGUAUCCAACCAGAAAGCCACGGCUAACUACGUGCCAGCAGCCGCGGUAAUACGUAGGUGGCAAGCGUUAUCCGGAUUUAUUGGGCGUAAAGCGAGCGCAGGCGGUUUUUUAAGUCUGAUGUGAAAGCCCUCGGCUUAACCGAGGAAGUGCAUCGGAAACUGGGAAACUUGAGUGCAGAAGAGGACAGUGGAACUCCAUGUGUAGCGGUGAAAUGCGUAGAUAUAUGGAAGAACACCAGUGGCGAAGGCGGCUGUCUGGUCUGUAACUGACGCUGAGGCUCGAAAGCAUGGGUAGCGAACAGGAUUAGAUACCCUGGUAGUCCAUGCCGUAAACGAUGAAUGCUAGGUGUUGGAGGGUUUCCGCCCUUCAGUGCCGCAGCUAACGCAUUAAGCAUUCCGCCUGGGGAGUACGACCGCAAGGUUGAAACUCAAAGGAAUUGACGGGGGCCCGCACAAGCGGUGGAGCAUGUGGUUUAAUUCGAAGCAACGCGAAGAACCUUACCAGGUCUUGACAUCUUUUGAUCACCUGAGAGAUCAGGUUUCCCCUUCGGGGGCAAAAUGACAGGUGGUGCAUGGUUGUCGUCAGCUCGUGUCGUGAGAUGUUGGGUUAAGUCCCGCAACGAGCGCAACCCUUAUGACUAGUUGCCAGCAUUUAGUUGGGCACUCUAGUAAGACUGCCGGUGACAAACCGGAGGAAGGUGGGGAUGACGUCAAAUCAUCAUGCCCCUUAUGACCUGGGCUACACACGUGCUACAAUGGAUGGUACAACGAGUUGCGAGACCGCGAGGUCAAGCUAAUCUCUUAAAGCCAUUCUCAGUUCGGACUGUAGGCUGCAACUCGCCUACACGAAGUCGGAAUCGCUAGUAAUCGCGGAUCAGCACGCCGCGGUGAAUACGUUCCCGGGCCUUGUACACACCGCCCGUCACACCAUGAGAGUUUGUAACACCCGAAGCCGGUGGCGUAACCCUUUUAGGGAGCGAGCCGUCUAAGGUGGGACAAAUGAUUAGGGUGAAGUCGUAACAAGGUAGCCGUAGGAGAACCUGCGGCUGGAUCACCU